Cyanistes caeruleus (blue tit) is the source of this 1127-nucleotide non-coding RNA. The record is from RefSeq and is a predicted model, not a curated record. NCBI's taxonomy places the organism in Eukaryota, Metazoa, Chordata, Aves, Passeriformes, Paridae.
CAGCUCGCCAUGGAGCAGAGGCCCAGGACGCUGCCCAUGGUCCCCGGUGGGCGCGGGCUCCUCCAAGAUGGAAGCGGCGACCGCGGAUCCCGACGCGCUUGUUUACUGCUCCCAGCGGCGCUUCCGGCCGCUCUGACGGCACGGUCACGUCACUUCCGGCCUCCUGCCGGGAAGGAAUGUGGCGGGGCUGUGCGGGGCCGGGCCGGGCCGGGCCCUGCCAGCCUGAGGGACAGCGAAGGAGAGCUGGGCAGGAGAACGGGCAGCAGCCGCAGCCAAGCGCAUCCGGCAGCUAAAGCUUAAAGCUUGCUCCUUGUAAGCUGUCUGAAAGUUUAAGGCUGCAAUUAUCUGGUGAUAAAAAGUGUGAAAAAUUAAUAAAAUGGUUAUAGCUAUUUGUUUGAAAGGUAAGUACACAGAAUUAGUGGAUGGUGAAAAAUUUUGGAGUACCUUUAGUUCGGCCAGUAGAGCCACAACAGUAAUUCUUAAUAUUCACUUUUGUUUGUGUGCUAAUUAGAGCCAGUGAAGUGUGCUGUGUUCAUCUUCCACAUAACUCCACCACAGUUGCCAGAAGGUUUUGGAGGCGCAUGAUCAGCUCACAGCUAACAUUGCAGCUUGCUUCUUGAGAUGAAUGCAUAAUCUCCAUUCCCUCUCCUUUGUGAAACCCUGAAUCUUCUUCAAAGGGAGCUUCUUACUAAAACCUGCUUUUUUGUUAGCUCUUUAUUGGAAAAUUGUAAUUUUUCCAAACUAGAGACCACCUGUCAGUUUCAUGGUCUGCACAGCCAACUGUGAUCAGCUCCUUCAGUGAGCACCUGAUCUGCAGAGAGCACAGAGCCGCCUUAUGGAGGAUCCCAAAACUGGCCACACAAGCUUUAACCUCCAGCAGAAAAGCCGAGGUAACCAUUUUGUCUCUUGAGUCCCUGUCCCCCGACCCUGAGAGGAAGGGUGAGCUAGACAGGACAAGAUUCUCUACUAAACAGGCUUAUGCUUUAGGCAAGGCAACACACGGACAAAUAGAACACGUAAGGGAAUAAAAAUGCAGAUAAAACGUGACUGUACUGGGGCCCCGCUCAUCUUUGUGCUACUCUUGCCGAACUCAUAUUAAGUAUCAGCAUAACAUUUGGAGGAAGCAA